Molecule: long non-coding RNA, 684 nt
Organism: Ornithorhynchus anatinus (platypus)
Lineage: Eukaryota; Metazoa; Chordata; Mammalia; Monotremata; Ornithorhynchidae
Exons: 6
Source: RefSeq, a predicted model, not a curated record
UCUCUUUGUCCGACGCGCCAUCGGCUGCCAGCCAGCGACAUCCACCUCCACCCGUCACCAUCCGCCAUCGGCCUCUCGUCGAACCAUGUCCGGCCGGCCCCUGCCAGUAUCUUCCACAGGGAAAUUUGCACCAUGCUUGUUCAGAGAAAUCCCCGUUUGGCCGAAAAGGAUAAUGAAGCCUAGAGCACGUUACUCAGGAAGCGGUUACCUCAGGUGAUUGAUACCCCAUGCUUCAGAAUUGCAUGAAACCAAGAAUGCAGCCUUAAAACAGAUGAUGGUCAUUGAGGCGUUGCCAUGACUGUCCCUCACAUUUUAGAAUUUUCGUGGUUUGGUUCCAGUAGAGAUGAAUUCAUGACUUUACCGGAAGAGGCAAUCGUAACCUGUACGGUUACUGCGGAAUGUGAAUUCAUUGGUUUGUCUGGGACUGACCAUCUGGCAGGAGGAGUGGGCUGUCACUGCCUGAUGUGAGCUAAAGAUCUUGAGACAUCCACUGAAGAGACCAGCAAGCUUAUUGAAAUGUAAAAGCUUGGUUCAGGAGAAAGAAGCAAAAGAAACUAGGGAUUGUCCCAGUUUUCUACUGCCACGAGGACAGUCUCGCCUGUUAAUGUACUUUCACUGAAAUCUGGGCUGUAUUAUUUCCCGAAAUACACCAUUUUUUCCAAAUAAAGUUUUUUUGAGAACCAA